Molecule: ribosomal RNA, 52 nt
Filed under: Orbilia oxyspora
Lineage: Eukaryota; Fungi; Ascomycota; Orbiliomycetes; Orbiliales; Orbiliaceae
Description: partial 28S large subunit ribosomal RNA
Source: RNAcentral
UGACCUCAGAUCAGACAAGAUACCCGCUGAACUUAAGCAUAUCAUACGGGGG